RNAcentral lists this ribosomal RNA (372 nucleotides) under uncultured organism. RNAcentral's name for it is "bacterial SSU rRNA". It matches the Rfam family "Bacterial small subunit ribosomal RNA", at positions 526 to 896 of the family's 1533-position model. The record is from RNAcentral.
CGGGGGGGGUAAGCGUUGUUCGGAAUUACUGGGCGUAAAGGGCUCGUAGGCGGCCAACUAAGUCACACGUGAAAUCCCUCAGCUUAACUGGGGAACUGCGUGUGAUACUGGAUGGCUUGGAUUUGGGAGAGGGAUGCGGAAUUCCGGGUGUAGCGGUGAAAUGCGUAGAUAUCUGGAGGAACACCGGUGGCGAAGGCGGCAUCCUGGACCAAUAUUGACGCUGAGGAGCGAAAGCCAGGGGAGCAAACGGGAUUAGAUACCCCGGUAGUCCUGGCCCUAAACGAUGAAUGCUUGGUGUAGCGGGUAUCGAUCCCUGCUGUGCCGAAGCUAACGCAUUAAGCAUUCCGCCUGGGGAGUACGGUCGCAAGGCUG